AUGCCAGGGGCACAGCCUAUGAAUAUUCGUCUAUACCGGCACAAGCCUGAGCAUAAGACAGAAAUAGAGAAGCAGGUGGCUGAACUGCUCAGGCAGGGGAUCAUCAGGCAAAGUGCCAGUCCUUUCGCAUCGCUGGCCAUCUUGGUAAAUAAGAAGGAUGGAACGUGGCGCCUCUGUAUUGACUAUUGCCAACUCAAUGCAAUGACCACUGUACCCAAGUUCCCAGUUCCAGUUAUUGAAGAGUUGCUCGAUGAACUCCAUGGUGCAGUAUGGUUCUCGAAACUUGAUCUCCGGGCAGGUUACUAUUAG
Molecule: ribosomal RNA, 309 nt
Filed under: Triticum aestivum (bread wheat)
Lineage: Eukaryota; Viridiplantae; Streptophyta; Magnoliopsida; Poales; Poaceae
Description: partial small subunit ribosomal RNA
Source: RNAcentral